Molecule: non-coding RNA, 694 nt
Organism: Camelina sativa (false flax)
Lineage: Eukaryota; Viridiplantae; Streptophyta; Magnoliopsida; Brassicales; Brassicaceae
Source: RefSeq, a predicted model, not a curated record
CUGUUCCCUUCUUUCUUGCCAUUUUCCUUACGAUCAUCCCCAUGUCUUGCAACCGUUCUUACUCAUUUAUAUUGUUAGAUUUUCUUAGCAAUUUUCUAAUUUCGACUCCUAAAUUCUCACUUUCGGGUCAGUUAAUUCUUCUACUGUCCGAUUUACGUCAUGACAGAUUAACAAUUCUUACACAUUUUUUUUUUUCCUUCUUUCCCUUUGAACCAGAAUUCAUCUCACUCUCCCUUCUCCUGUGAAAUCAAAUAUGGCUAAGAAGAGAAAGAUUAGAACGAGUGUAACUCCAAUUAAGGUUCCGUGUGAUACCUUUUGGGCAAAAAGAAAUCUCUUUCACAAAUCAAUUCGAUAAUAUCCGAUCGUGACUUACCCAAGGACCAAGGUUAUCAAUUCUCAUUUAGUUCUUCCUUUGUUUUUUUUUUAAUUAACAGUUGAUCUCAUAAUUUUAAUUAAACGCAACUUAAGUGCUUUAUAUAUAGUAACAAUUGACCGUUUGAUUUCGUGAAACUACGGUAAGAAAGAAAACUAUUGGUGUUAUGAAGAUCGAGUUUUAGAAGCUGCAAGAGAUCUUUGUUCGGAGACUCUCCAAUGGAGAUUGAAGGGGAGUUUGGAGAUGUUUGUUUGGUCAUUUGGAGUUAUGAGGUUGAUCAAUAUAGUUAUUUAUGACAAAUAGACUUUUGGUAUCCGUUCA